UUUCCGUAGGUGAACCUGCGGAAGGAUCAUUAUUGAAUGAACUUGCUGUGGUUAUUGCUGGCACUUUUGGGGAAAUGUGCACACCCACCAUCCUCAGCACUCCACCUAUGCACCUCUUGUAGACCUGGGAUAGAUUUUCCGAGGCAACUCGAUCUGGAGGAAUGCUGCCCUAAGCUUUCUUUGUUUUCCCUGGUCUUUGUUUUUCAUAUACCCUAUAGCAUGUAACAGACUGUACCAUUUGGGCGCUUGCUCCCUAUAAACCUUAUACAACUUUCAGCAACGGAUCUCUUGGCUCUC
RNAcentral lists this unclassified non-coding RNA (297 nucleotides) under plant metagenome. RNAcentral describes it as "partial contains small subunit ribosomal RNA, internal transcribed spacer 1, and 5.8S ribosomal RNA". The record is from RNAcentral.